AUUUAUCAUUAGCUGUGAAAGUGCAGACUUCACCUUCAGUUAAGUUGACAGAGGAUUACAGACCAUCAACACCGCACACAGGAUAACAACGCUCUUGACCUUCGUGGGAGGGAAGAGAAGGCCUGCGGAGGUAUCCAGCAAACCCUCCCUACCCUCGCUGAAGAAAGAGACUCUGCUAUUCCACGUUCUCACACUACCCAGAAGGUCAGACUAUCUCAGCAUCUAUCCAGCUUACCAGAUUCUGCCCGUUUCCUACCUUAGUCUAUAAAGCUGAAUGACAAAUUGGAAGACCUGAUGCCUUUAGCCCCCUCUUAAUUCCCAAGUCUGAUGUUAUUGUAACAGCACAAAAAUCCUUAGAUGUUAUCACACUUGAUUACUAUCUAUAGGAACCCUUCAAGCACAGCUGUUUCUCAUUAGAUGCCAGUGGCUGAAAGCAUUU
RNAcentral lists this long non-coding RNA (439 nucleotides) under Fukomys damarensis (Damara mole-rat). RNAcentral describes it as "lncRNA (ENSFDAG00000031001.1)". The record is from RNAcentral. Lineage: Eukaryota; Metazoa; Chordata; Mammalia; Rodentia; Bathyergidae.